Molecule: long non-coding RNA, 2967 nt
Filed under: Marmota monax (woodchuck)
Lineage: Eukaryota; Metazoa; Chordata; Mammalia; Rodentia; Sciuridae
Source: RNAcentral
CUCGGUCUGGCUAUCGCGCUCACGGGAGAGCUGGGAGGGGCCCUUAAGGUUUCCCCGCUGUGUGGAGAGGGAAGGCUAGGGGGUUACACACCUGUCACCGCUGGUUUCAAUGAAGUUAUCUCCUCCGCCGCAUUCUGGUGACGUCAGUUCUCUGCCAUGGUGGUAUCCCAUGCAAAUGGCGAAAGUUCGUUUCCCUUUGCCAGGUGACCAAUGCAACGGGUGGGUCCUGACUGGCUCUCCCAAGCCCCGUUUCAAUCCUGUGGCCACUGCCUAUGAAGGCUCGGUUGGUAUUAACCUCCGUAGUUUCAGAAGGGCCGACCAGUUGUUUCAGCGGGAUCGUUUAGUGCUGAGUCAUAGCAGUUUGUCUGCAAGAAGCAGGCGAACGGGAGCUUGAAUUCAGCCAAUCCGGGCUCGGUGUGUGUUCUGAGAGGCCCAGACUGUUCGCCCCAGAUCCACGUCAGCUCAGCAUUGCCUAGUGAUCCUGAGCAAACAGCAUUUAGACGGUUUACGACUCCCUAUGCCCGCGCAGCUGAAGAGGUCAGAGACUUGAUCUCUCCGCGCCCGCUGCCAUGUUGGAUCUCCAACUCCUGCUUUUUUUUGGAGGAGGGUAAGUUGGGAUUAAACGGGGGGUCUUUGCUACUGAGCUACAUCCCUACCCCUUUUUAUUUUGAGACAAGGUCUCAUUAAGUUGCUGAGGCAGGCCUCAAAUUUGUGAUCCUCUUGCCUCAGGCUCUUGAGUGAGUUGAAUUAAAGGUAUGUUCUACUGUGCCUGUUCUCUUGCUUUUGAUUGAAUUAUAGUAAGAAAACACACUGUUCGUUUUAAACUAAAAUUUCAAGAUAGAAAACACUGUCCCUCUGUUUUUUGUUUUUUAUUUAAAGAGAGAGAGAAAGAGAAUUUAUUUUUUUAGUUUUUCGGCGGACACAAUAUCUUUGUUUGUAUGUGGUGCUGAGGAUCAAACCCGGGCCGCACGCAUGCCAGGCGAGCGUGCCACCGCUUGAGCCACAUCCCCAUCCCACCUCUGUUUUUUAAUUUUAUUUCAUACCAGGGAGGAAAUUUAAAAAUUCUUUUUUUUAAUCUUUUAUUGGUUUUAUUUUUUUUAAAUACAUGACAGCAGUGGAAUGCAUUACAAUUCUUAUUACACAUAUAUAACAGUUCUUAUAAUGAAGUAAUAAUAGUUAUGCAAUAUACCAGAACCUCUGGACACUAUGAAGGCAGUUCUAAGAAAUCAGUUUACAAAUAUGAGUGGCUACAUAGGAAAAUCAGAAAGAUCAUAAAUAACCGAGUGAUAUAUCUUAAGGUUCGUGAAAAAGAACAAACCAAUUCCAAAGACAGUAGAAAGAAGGAAAUAAUUAAGAUCAAAGUAAAAAUCAGUGAAAUUAACAAUAAAAACAUUCAAAGGAUCAAUGAAAUGGAGAGUUGGUUCUUUGAAGAGAUAAACAAGAUUGAUAAGCCCUUAGCCAAAAUAACCAAAAGAAAAAGAAGACCCAAAUUAAUAAAAUUAGAAAUUAAAAAGUAGAAAUCACCAGACAUCACAGAUAUCCAAAGAUCACUAAGGGAAUACUUUGAAAAUUUAUACUCCAAUAAAUUGAAAGACUUAAUACGUUUCUACACACGAGACCUGCCAAAAUUGAAUCAAGAGAACAUAGAAAAUCUAAACCAACCAGUAAUUAGCAAUGUGAUAGAAGCAGUAAUAAAAAGCCUUUCAACAAAGAGAAACCCAGGACCAGAUGUACUCUCAGCUGAAUUCUACCAGACAAUUAAAUAAAAACUAACAUCAAGGGCUUGGGUUAUGGCUCAACGGUAGAGCGCUCGCCUAGCAUGUGCGAGCGAAGCCCUGGGUUUGAUCCUCAGCACUAAAUAAAAAUAAAUAAAUAAAAUGAAGGUGUUGUGUCCAGCUACAACUAAAAAAUAAAUAUUAAAAAAAAAACUAACAUCAAGAUGAUGAAAAGACCUCCCAUAUUCAUGGAUAGGCAGUGCUUCUCAAAUUAUUUCAUGAAAUAGAAAGGGAUGGCACAGUUCCAAAUUCAUUAUAUGAAGCCAGUGUCAAACUCAUACUCAAACCAAUAAGAACACAUCGAGGAAAGGAAACUAUAAACUGAUAUCCCUGAUGAACAUACACACAAAAAUCUUUUUAAAAAAUAUUUGUUUAGUUGUUGAUGGACCUUUAUUUUAUUCAUUUAUUUAUAUAUGGUGCUGAGAAUUGAACCCAGUGCCUCACACAUUUUAGGCAAGCGCUCUACCACUGAAUCAGAGCCACAGCCCCUAGAUGCAAAAAUCUUAAUAAAAUAUUAGCAAAUUGUAUUCAACAUUGCCAAGUUGGUUCCUUUCCAGGGAUGUAAGCAUGGUGUAACAUACACAAAUCAAUAAAUGUAAUUCAUCACAAAAUAGAAUUAAGGACUUAGUCAUCUCAGUAGAUGCAGAGGAAGCUUUUGACAAAAUUCAGCAUGCAUUCACGAUAAAAACACUGAAGAAAGUGGAGAUAGAAGGAAUCUACUUCAAUAUCAUCAAGGCUAUAUAUAACAAGUCCAAAGCCAACAUCAGAGUGAAUGGGGAAAAACUGAAAGCAUUUCCUUUAAAAUCCAGAAUAAGACAAGGAUGUGUGGAUGUCUACUCCCACCACUCUUAUUUAAUAUAGUAGUAGAAGUUCUAGCCAGAGCAGUAGGCAAGAGAAGGAAAUAAGGGAUUAAAAAUAGGAAAGGAAGAAGUCAAAUUAUCACUGUUUGCACAUGAUAUGAUUGUGUAUUUAGAAGUUCCAAAAAGCCCCAUUAGUAGACUAUUAGAGUUAAUAAACAAAUUUAGUAAAGUAGCAGAUUAGAAAAUCAGCAUACAAAAAUCAAUAGCUUUCCCCCAUCAAUAAAAAAUGUGAAAAGACCCAAAAAUCAUUAGAUUUUCAUUAUACCGAUAAUUAAUCUGCUGAGAAAGAAAUCAGGAAAAUAAAACCAUUCAAAAAAGAAAAAGAAAAAAAU